RNAcentral lists this ribosomal RNA (446 nucleotides) under uncultured Pelagibacterales bacterium. RNAcentral describes it as "bacterial SSU rRNA". It matches the Rfam family "Bacterial small subunit ribosomal RNA", at positions 1072 to 1533 of the family's 1533-position model. Lineage: Bacteria; Pseudomonadati; Pseudomonadota; Alphaproteobacteria; Candidatus Pelagibacterales. The record is from RNAcentral.
GAGAGUGGGUAGUCCGCACGAGCGCACCUCACUUUUAGUUGCCAUCAUUAAGUUGGGCACUCUGAAAGAACUGCCAGUGAUAAGCUGGAGGAAGGUGGGGAUGACGUCAAGUCCUCAUGGCCCUUACGUGUUGGGCUACACACGUGCUACAAUGGCAUCUACAACAGGAAGCAAAACGGCAACGUUAAGCAAAUCCCAAAAAGAUGCCUCAGUUCGGAUCGCACUCUGCAACUCGAGUGCAUGAAGCUGGAAUUACUAGUAAUCGUGGAUCAGCGUGCCACGGUGAAUGCGUUCCCGGGUCUUGUACACACCGCCCGUCACACCAUGGGAGUUGGUUCUACCUUAAGGCAAGGUUUUAAACCCUUGACCACGGUAUAGUCAGCGACUGGGGUGAAGUCGUAACAAGGUAGCCGUAGGGGAACCUGCGGCUGGAUUACCUCCUUUCU